RNAcentral lists this ribosomal RNA (435 nucleotides) under uncultured eukaryote. RNAcentral describes it as "bacterial SSU rRNA". It matches the Rfam family "Eukaryotic small subunit ribosomal RNA", at positions 619 to 1055 of the family's 1831-position model. The record is from RNAcentral.
UUAAAAAGCUCGUAGUUGGAUUUCUGCGGGAGACGAAGGGUCUACCUUACGGGUAAGCAUCUCUCAGGCUCCUGCAUCCUCAACAGGAACGUCGCUGCGAUUCAUUUCGUGGUACGGUACUGUUGACUUUUACUUUGAGGAAAUUAGAGUGUUCACGGCAAGCAAACGCGUGUAUACAUUAGCAUGGAAUAAUAAUAUAGGACCUUGGAUCUAUUUUGUUGGUUUCUAGAACUAAGGUAAUGAUAAAUAGGGACAGUUUGGGGGCAUUUGUACUAACGCGUCAGAGGUGGAAUUCUUGGAUUGCGUUAUGACAAACUACUGCGAAAGCAUUUGCCAAGGAUGUUUUCAUUGAUCAAGAACGAAAGUAUGGGGAUCGAAAGACGAUUAGAUACCCGUCCGUAAGUCUAUACCAUAAACUAUGCCAACUAGGAAUGA